RNAcentral lists this unclassified non-coding RNA (234 nucleotides) under Melitaea cinxia (Glanville fritillary). RNAcentral describes it as "misc RNA ENSMCXG00005013196.1". Lineage: Eukaryota; Metazoa; Arthropoda; Insecta; Lepidoptera; Nymphalidae. The record is from RNAcentral.
GGUGUCCAAAUAAUCUAUCUUUAGAAAUCAACUCCCUUUUGGGGUUAAAACGGGGGAUGGUAGGUUGACUCACUGAUCACGAAAUCUCCGAAACUAUAACACUUACAAACUUGAAAUUUAGUAGGUAGGCUCCUUAUAGAUCGUAGACAUCCGCUAAGAACGAAUUUUACGAAACUCGACCCCUAAGGGAGUAAAACGGGGGUUGGAAGUUUGUAUGAAAGUCCCAUGAUUUUG